This 577-nucleotide ribosomal RNA is filed under the name Mellita sp. RCMBAR1257. Its description in RNAcentral is "partial 16S ribosomal RNA". It matches the Rfam family "Bacterial large subunit ribosomal RNA", at positions 1816 to 2597 of the family's 2925-position model. Lineage: Eukaryota; Metazoa; Echinodermata; Echinoidea; Clypeasteroida; Mellitidae. The record is from RNAcentral.
CGCCCUCUGGCCCAUAAAUAUAACAUAGAGGGUCCUGCCUGCCCAGUGACAAAAAAGUUAAACGGCCGCGGUAUCUUGACCGUGCGAAGGUAGCAUAAUCACUUGUCUCCUAAAUAGAGACUGGUAUGAAUGGCAAGACGGAACUUAACUGUCUCCUUUUCUCAUAUCCUAAUUUCACUUUCCCGUGAAGAGGCGGGAAAACAUUCGCUAGACGAGAAGACCCUGUCGAGCUUAAGCAGAACGCUAAUUUCUAGUUCCUCUUAAUUACAUUCUAAUUUUUUUCUGUUAAAUUUAACUAAGAGAAAAUUAUUAGUACAAGCUUUGGUUGGGGCAACCACGGAGAAGAAAAAUCCUCCGCUUACAACAGAUAAAAACAAGACCCUACAAGUCUAAUAUUGUAUAAACAAGUCAACUGAUCCACCACGGUGAUCAAAGGAAAAAGUUACCGCAGGGAUAACAGCGUUAUCUUUUCUGAGAGUUCACAUUGACGAAAAGGUUUGCGACCUCGAUGUUGGAUCGGGACAUCCUAAGGGUGCAGAAGCUUUUAAGGGUUGGUCUGUUCGACCAUUAAAGUCCU